AAGUCGUAACAAGGUUUCCGUAGGUGAACCUGCGGAAGGAUCAUUAUAAGGAUCAUUUUCCGGAGAUGCCGUCCUGACCCCGAAGGGUGUCGGGGGAAGGCAGCUUCUCCCGCUUUGGUGUUUCAUCGAAGCGUUGGAACUCGUAAUUUCGCUCUGCGUGAGUGAUGGUUUGUAGUCUUUCGAGACAUAUGUUUUUGUUUGUCAAAAUGCACAGUGUGUAGCAUUUUCGAAAAAAAAAAGUUAUCAAAACUUUUGACAACGGAUCUCUUGGCUCUC
Molecule: unclassified non-coding RNA, 276 nt
Filed under: fungal sp.
Lineage: Eukaryota; Fungi
Description: partial internal transcribed spacer region
Rfam family: Eukaryotic small subunit ribosomal RNA (bases 1-46)
Source: RNAcentral